AGACCGAUAGGGAACGAGAAAAGAACUUUGAAAAGAGAGUUAAACAGUAUGUGAAAUUGCUGAAAGGGAACCGUUUGAAGCCAGUCUGGCUGGUCUGCAAUCAACUUCGGCUUUGGUUGGAGUGCACUUGUAGGCCGUUCGCCUGCCAACAACAGUUUAUACUGCAGCAAAAAGGUGCUGAGAAUGUGGCUUUCCUUCGGGAAAGUGUUAUAGCUCGGUACGAAAUACUGUGGUUUAGACUGAGGCUCGCAGUGAAUGCUUUUUGGCUUUGGAAGUGGGUCGCUCAGUAGUCAGUGAGUUAGUCUUCGGCCGUAAAAAAGUCGUGCUGGCUUACUGAUUGCUGACCCGGCUUGCUUGCUUUUAAUUCACUUUGGUUGUUGGCGUAAUGGC
RNAcentral lists this ribosomal RNA (390 nucleotides) under Saksenaea vasiformis. Its description in RNAcentral is "LSU rRNA". It matches the Rfam family "Eukaryotic large subunit ribosomal RNA", at positions 348 to 638 of the family's 3401-position model. The record is from RNAcentral. Lineage: Eukaryota; Fungi; Mucoromycota; Mucoromycetes; Mucorales; Saksenaeaceae.